AUUGAACGCUGGCGGCAUGCCUUACACAUGCAAGUCGAACGGCAGCACGGGGGCAACCCUGGUGGCGAGUGGCGAACGGGUGAGUAAUACAUCGGAACGUGCCCAGUAGUGGGGGAUAGCUCGGCGAAAGCCGGAUUAAUACCGCAUACGACCUACGGGUGAAAGCGGGGGACCGCAAGGCCUCGCGCUAUCGGAGCGGCCGAUGUCAGAUUAGGUAGUUGGUGGGGUAAAGGCCUACCAAGCCGACGAUCUGUAGCUGGUCUGAGAGGACGACCAGCCACACUGGGACUGAGACACGGCCCAGACUCCUACGGGAGGCAGCAGUGGGGAAUUUUGGACAAGGGGGGCAACCCUGAUCCAGCCAUGCCGCGUGCGGGAAGAAGGCCUUCGGGUUGUAAACCGCUUUUGUCGGGGAAGAAAUCUCUCAGGCUAAUACCUUGGGAGGAUGACGGUACCCGAAGAAUAAGCACCGGCUAACUACGUGCCAGCCGCCGCCGUAA
This 500-nucleotide ribosomal RNA is filed under the name uncultured bacterium. Its description in RNAcentral is "partial 16S ribosomal RNA". It matches the Rfam family "Bacterial small subunit ribosomal RNA", at positions 29 to 523 of the family's 1533-position model. The record is from RNAcentral.